AACCCCUGGCAAUGGGCAAAGAGACACCUUGGUGGUGCUGUUCCUAUAUCAGUGAGGGGCAGAGCCGAUGGCAGGCCUUUGUUCAUCCUAGCUUGAUGCCUCCUGGCUUGGUGGCCAAAGCUGUUUCAUGCUUGGGCACACUU
Small nucleolar RNA from Rattus norvegicus (Norway rat), 143 nucleotides. Ensembl annotates it as small nucleolar RNA SNORA48. Lineage: Eukaryota; Metazoa; Chordata; Mammalia; Rodentia; Muridae. The record is from Ensembl.